CCGGCGACCGGCGCACGGGUGAGUAACACGUAUACAACCUGGCCGUCACAGGUGGAUAACCGGAAGAAAUUCCGACUAAUACAGCAUAACACUCCUGAGGGACAUCCUUCGGGAGUCAAAGGAGGCAACUCCGGUGACGGAUGGGCAUGCGGCGCAUUAGGUAGUUGGUAGGGUAACGGCCUACCAAGCCGACGAUGCGUAGGGGUUCUGAGAGGAAGGUCCCCCACAUUGGAACUGAGACACGGUCCAAACUCCUACGGAAGGCAGCAG
This 270-nucleotide ribosomal RNA is filed under the name uncultured bacterium. RNAcentral's name for it is "partial 16S ribosomal RNA". It matches the Rfam family "Bacterial small subunit ribosomal RNA", at positions 88 to 354 of the family's 1533-position model. The record is from RNAcentral.